CUCACUACACAUCUUGAUUUUUUUUUUAAUAGGUGGUUCCCAAUACAUCUUUUUAAGGGAGUAUCCUCUGAAUAUUGUUAACAGUUGAUAUGCAUUUCUGUAUUUUUGUCUAAUUGAUGAGGUAAUCAAAGCGGGCGUGGUUCCUUGGUUUGUGGAGUUUCUGGGAAGGAAUGAUCUGCCCAACUUGCAGAAAGAUGUCAAUAUGUAAUCGAAAUUGUUGGCAAGAGAUGUCAAUAUAACACCAAGAAUAAAUUUGUAAAUAUUUUAUGCUUUUGUUUUUUACCCUUAGCUCUCUUUUGUUGACUUUCAUUUUCUCUUCUACAUGCAGAAAGAAUCAUCAGUGGGACGGGCAACACAAUCUACUGAUCUAGAUUUCAGAUGCAUGUAGAGUGGUAAUUGAGCAUGGUGCUGUCUCCUUGUUUGUGCAACUUCUUAGCUUUGCCAGUGAUGAUAUCAGAGAGCAGUUUGUUUCACUUCUCUUGUAUAAAUUUCAGGAAGUCCUCUGCUUGGCAUUAUUUAUGUUUAUGCUUUUUUGUUAUCUAAUUUGCAUUGUUUUUUUUUUUUUUUUUUUCAAUCAAAUAAUUAUGCCCCCUAUAACUCUUUUUUAUUUUCCAUGCUUAGCUUUGGACUUUCAUACCUUUAUAUUCAUUCUAAAUUCCAAAAUAUUUCCAAGCUUAAUUAUCUCCCAUAAGAUAUGUUUUCUUUUUUUGAUGUCAUUCCUAACAUGUGGUUUUAUUUUUUUUAAUUUUUUUUUUUUUGGAGAAAUCAAUGCUACAUUAGCAGUGUAGAGGUUUUAAUCCAUGUCUUGAAUUUGAUUAGAUAUUAGAUAUUGAUAGAAAGGAGAAAACAUUUUUUUGACUUAAGCAUUUUUGUCUAGGAGGAAAAAUAUCUACUUUUGAACCCUCAUUCACUCAAAGAAGAUAUUGUUUGCUUUGAUUUAUUUGGUGAUAGUGUUUUGGGGACAACUUGAAGAGAGUAGUGCGGUUUACUUUUGAAAUAUUUUCUACAACUUUAGUUAGAUUUGGCGAGAAUGAUUUCCUUAUAUAGAAUGUUUCACGACCUGAAAAUGUUUGUAAUGAGUUUCAUGUACAAAUUGUUGGAAUCGUGGUUCCAAAAUGCUGUAUUUCUUGACCCACUACUGUUCUAUUUUAAUGAAUUAAACAUGCUCCUUGAAACCAUCCAAUGCUUGGGGGGAGCAUAUAUGAACAAAUAAAGAAAUAGAAUGAUGUUUAGAUCAAUACAUAGAGUACCCUUUAUUAUUAUUAUUUUUUUUUUUGAUAAGUAGAGUACCCUUUAAUUUAAUAUACCAAUGUGGUGAGCUAGACAUCUGCAAAUAUCAUAACAAUGUUAUUGUCCUCUCUAUUCUCUAAUAAAUUAUAAAAAUUCCCCUCAUCUUCUCCUUGCACUCUCUCUCUUGUUGUGUAUGCUUGUGUGUUUAUAUGCUUUAGGAUUUUUUAUGUUGUUUAAAAUUAGAAUCAAUAGCAAGGAAGUCAAUGAACUGUCUUCUUGGCACUCAAUAAUUAAAUUACUUUUCUAUUUGAUACUAUAAUUUUCUUAAAACAUUUUGUUUAACAGGGCUUGUUUUUGUUGUUUCUCCUUCUAUGGAGAUGUGCUGAAUGAUUUGCACUGUUAUUGGGUUUGCUUGUUAACUUUUUUUUUGGCUAUUGUCCUCCCAUGUUCAGGGAUAGUACUUUUGAAUAUUUUAAGCUUAUGUUUAUUUUUCAUUUCUUUGCAUUUAUAACUCCUUGCUCCUUUUUUUUUUUUUUUUUUGUGUGUGGAGGGUGAGUUGAUUGAAAGAAACAUUUACUACAAUGGCUAGACAAGUAAUCCACCCAUUACAAAGAAGGGAACUUGAAUCUCAAUCAAUAGAGGACAUUACUAAUAUACAUA
This is a long non-coding RNA of Corylus avellana, 1890 nucleotides long. RefSeq lists it as uncharacterized. The record is from RefSeq and is a predicted model, not a curated record. Lineage: Eukaryota; Viridiplantae; Streptophyta; Magnoliopsida; Fagales; Betulaceae.